This 763-nucleotide ribosomal RNA is filed under the name uncultured bacterium. RNAcentral's name for it is "bacterial SSU rRNA". It matches the Rfam family "Bacterial small subunit ribosomal RNA", at positions 1 to 805 of the family's 1533-position model. The record is from RNAcentral.
UUCGCCCUUAGAGUUUGAUCCUGGCUCAGAGCGAACGCUGGCGGCAGGCUUAACACAUGCAAGUCGAGCGGGCGUAGCAAUACGUCAGCGGCAGACGGGUGAGUAACGCGUGGGAACGUACCUUUUGGUUCGGAACAACACAGGGAAACUUGUGCUAAUACCGGAUAAGCCCUUACGGGGAAAGAUUUAUCGCCGAAAGAUCGGCCCGCGUCUGAUUAGCUAGUUGGUGAGGUAACGGCUCACCAAGGCGACCAUCAGUAGCUGGUCUGAGAGGAUGAUCCGCCACAUUGGGGACUGAAACACGGGCCAAACUCUUACGGGAGGCAGCAGUGGGGAAUAUUGGACAAUGGGGGCAACCCUGAUCCAGCCAUGCCGCGUGAGUGAUGAAGGCCCUAGGGUUGUAAAGCUCUUUUGUGCGGGAAGAUAAUGACGGUACCGCAAGAAUAAGCCCCGGCUAACUUCGUGUCAGCAGCCGCGGUAAUACGAAGGGGGCUAGCGUUGCUCGGAAUCACUGGGCGUAAAGGGUGCGUAGGCGGAUCUUUAAGUCAGAGGUGAAAGCCUGGAGCUCAACUCCAGAACUGCCUUUGAUACUGGGGAUCUUGAGUUCGGGAGAGGUGAGUGGAACUGCGAGUGUAGAGGUGAAAUUCGUAGAUAUUCGCAAGAACACCAGUGGCGAAGGCGGCUCACUGGCCCGAUACUGACGCUGAGGCACGAAAGCGUGGGGAGCAAACAGGAUUAGAUACCCUGGUAGUCCACGCCGUAA